RNAcentral lists this ribosomal RNA (420 nucleotides) under Streptococcus parasanguinis. Its description in RNAcentral is "bacterial SSU rRNA". It matches the Rfam family "Bacterial small subunit ribosomal RNA", at positions 83 to 493 of the family's 1533-position model. Lineage: Bacteria; Bacillati; Bacillota; Bacilli; Lactobacillales; Streptococcaceae. The record is from RNAcentral.
CCGAGCGGAUGAGUUGCGAACGGGUGAGUAACGCGUAGGUAACCUGCUCUUAGCGGGGGAUAACUAUUGGAAACGAUAGCUAAUACCGCAUAAAAGUCGAUAUCGCAUGAUAUUGAUUUGAAAGGUGCAAUUGCAUCACUAAGAGAUGGACCUGCGUUGUAUUAGCUAGUUGGUGAGGUAACGGCUCACCAAGGCGACGAUACAUAGCCGACCUGAGAGGGUGAUCGGCCACACUGGGACUGAGACACGGCCCAGACUCCUACGGGAGGCAGCAGUAGGGAAUCUUCGGCAAUGGGGGCAACCCUGACCGAGCAACGCCGCGUGAGUGAAGAAGGUUUUCGGAUCGUCAAGCUCUGUUGUAAGAGAAGAACGAGUGUGAGAGUGGAAAGUUCACACUGUGACGUAACUACCAGAAAGGCG